AGAGUUUGAUCAUGGCUCAGGACGAACGCUGGCGGCGUGCCUAAUACAUGCAAGUUGAACGAUGAUUUCUGGUACUUGUAUCAGAAUGAAGAGUAGCGAACGGGUGAGUAACGCGUGGGUAACCUACCUCUUAGCGGGGGACAACUAUUGGACAACGAUAGCUAAUACCGCAUAACAAUAUUAAACACAUGUUUAAUAUUUGAAAGUACCAAUUGGUACACUAGGAGAUGGACCCGCGUUGUAUUAGCUAGUUGGUAGUGUAAUGGACUACCAAGGCGAUGAUACAUAGCCGACCUGAGAGGGUGAUCGGCCACAUUGGGACUGAGACACGGCCCAAACUCCUACGGGAGGCAGCAGUAGGGAAUCUUCGGCAAUGGACGAAAGUCUGACCGAGCAACGCCGCGUGAGUGAAGAAGGUUUUCGGAUCGUAAAACUCUGUUGUUAGAGAAGAACGUUGUGUAGAGUGGAAAAUUACACAAGUGACGGUAUCUAACCAGAAAGGGACGGCUAACUACGUGCCAGCAGCCGCGGUAAUACGUAGGCCCCGAGCGUUGUCCGGAUUUAUUGGGCGUAAAGCGAGCGCAGGUGGUUUAAUAAGUCUGAUGUAAAAGGCAGUGGCUCAACCAUUGUGUGCAUUGGAAACUGUUAGACUUGAGUGCAGUAGAGGAGAGUGGAAUUCCAUGUGUAGCGGUGAAAUGCGUAGAUAUAUAGAGGAACACCGGUGGCGAAAGCGGCUCUCUGGACUGUAACUGACACUGAGGCUCGAAAGCGUGGGUAGCAAACAGGAUUAGAUACCCUGGUAGUCCACGCCGUAAACGAUGAGUGCUAGUUGUUUGGGGCUAUCCAGCCCUAAGUGACGCAGCA
Molecule: ribosomal RNA, 864 nt
Filed under: uncultured bacterium
Lineage: Bacteria
Description: bacterial SSU rRNA
Rfam family: Bacterial small subunit ribosomal RNA
Source: RNAcentral